RNAcentral lists this long non-coding RNA (1370 nucleotides) under Macaca fascicularis (crab-eating macaque). RNAcentral describes it as "lncRNA (ENSMFAG00000056334.1)". The record is from RNAcentral. Lineage: Eukaryota; Metazoa; Chordata; Mammalia; Primates; Cercopithecidae.
UUUUUUUUUUUUUUUUUUUUUUUUUUAGCAACAGGGGUCACCUUAUGUUGACCAGGCUGGUCUCAGACUCCUGGACUCAGCUGAUCCUCCCACCUUGGCUUCCCAAAGUGCUAGGAUUACAGGAAUGAGCCACUGUGCCUGGCUGAUUUUAAAAAUAGUAUUCAGUGGAACAACAUACUUUCAGAAAUGCUAGCUCAGGCCAAUAGAAGAAUACUGCAGAAAUAGAUUUAUUAUUUUCCUCUGACUCAAGAGGGAAAAGCUAAUCUUCAAGCUUAUUUGACCAAACCUUAUAUUUUAAAUAAUAUGAAGCAUUAAGUUUUUAUCAAAAGUACAUAGGAUUUGGAACCAGGAGAUGAGCUCUCUUCUAACUAGCUGUGUGACUUUGGGCAAAGAUCACUUUAAUCUUUUCUAAUCCAAUGUCUUUCCUACAGCUGCAGAAGCAGAAAUCCCCUGGCUAGAGUUCUUUGUGGUAGAUGAAUUGAAGUGCACUUGAAUAACAUAUAAUUAAAGAGAAUACAAAUGUUGAUUGGAAAUCCCCAGACUGUCCAGUGAGAAAAUCCCUUGAAUUUUCCUGGUUCUUGUUUUUUGAGUGCUGACCACAUUUUGGUGUUGGGCUUGGUUCAAGUGUCGCCAAAGGCAGGGUCAGGUUAAAGGUGCACACUUGCUGAGGCAAAUCAGGAAAGUCAAUGAAGGGCGCACUCUGUAGGCCUGCGCUAUGGCUGUGCUCACUCAGAUAGCCCCUUCUCAACCAGGCUUAUGGGGGUAAUUGUGGGAAAAAAAAAAGAAGCAGGGAGGGAUCUUUAAAGAACCCCAAAAGUUAUAAAAAUCCAGAAUAAUCUAGAUUAUUAAUCUCAGGGGGGGAAUCUGAAAAAAAGUUAGAAUCAGAGAGUACUUGCCCUAAAAUAUCUCUCAUCACAUUUUUUUCCAUUUUAUCUUGUUACAGUAAAUUCCACUAACUAGAGAUUCAUUUAAUCUAAACUAAUCUGGAAAAUUGGAAAUAUCUCUAGGAAGAUUAAAUAACUGUUAAACAUCCAUCUGAAGUGUAAAUUUGCUCAAUCAGGCCACCUUCCUCUUAAUCCUCGAAUUUAUUUGUAGUCAGAGAAUAGGAGUUGUGAUUGGCAGAGGGGGGAAGGUAAGAGGAGCCUGGAGUCGGGGUGGAGGCUUGCUCCAGUGGGAGAUGAGGCAUGGUAGGGAACAGGAGCAGAGAAGAGCACACAGAAGUGCAAAAAUCCAAGUGUAAAACAGAAAUAUUUAACCAAUUAUCUAAUUCCCAAUGGCUUUGUUUUUCCUUUUCUUCUUCAUCCCUCCCUCCCCUUAUGGUCUUCUGCUCACGACCACCAGGAAAGCUGGGAUUAGAUUAGGCUACAUCA